GAUUCCGUAGCUCAGUUGGUAGAGCAAUACACUUUUAAUGUAUGGGCCCUGGGUCCGAGUCCCAGCGGGAUCA
Molecule: transfer RNA, 73 nt
Filed under: Chitinophagaceae bacterium
Lineage: Bacteria; Pseudomonadati; Bacteroidota; Chitinophagia; Chitinophagales; Chitinophagaceae
Description: tRNA-Lys
Rfam family: tRNA
About the family: Transfer RNA (tRNA) molecules are approximately 80 nucleotides in length. Their secondary structure includes four short double-helical elements and three loops (D, anti-codon, and T loops). Further hydrogen bonds mediate the characteristic L-shaped molecular structure. tRNAs have two regions of fundamental functional importance: the anti-codon, which is responsible for specific mRNA codon recognition, and the 3' end, to which the tRNAs corresponding amino acid is attached (by aminoacyl-tRNA synthetases). tRNAs cope with the degeneracy of the genetic code in two manners: having more than one tRNA (with a specific anti-codon) for a particular amino acid; and 'wobble' base-pairing, i.e. permitting non-standard base-pairing at the 3rd anti-codon position.
Source: RNAcentral